GAGAGCCGCAGCUUUGCUUCCCUGGGGAAGGGCUGACGUCCUCCGGGCGCCACUGCCCGCUUGGCGAAAUGCCUGGGGGCUGCCUAGAUCCCCGAGGCGGCGAGGUCUGGCCUCAUCCUCCUGGUGGGGAGACGGAAGGCACGCCCCCACUCCUCCCACGCCAGCCCCAGCGAGCACGCUCCCCCACCGCUCGCGGCUCCCCGGCCCGGAGUGUUUUCACUCGCGCCGCCGCCGAGGAGCCGCAGGCCCUCCCCGCCCCGCUUCCUCGUAUCACUAGCGCUGGUCGGCCGCUGGGGGCGCUGUGCGGACUGACGAGGACCGCCCCCUCUUCCUCCCUCUCCUCCGCCUCCUCCCUCUCCUCCGCCUCCUCCCUCUCCUCCGCCUCCUCCUCACUACAGUUCCCACUCUGGGUGGGAGCGAGCGCGUCCGGUUUGCAGGAACCUUUCGGAAAUGGCAACUUGCGCGAUGGAGGUGUUCGGGCUCCCGGAGGACGAGGAAAAUUCCCGAAUUGUGAGGGUAAAAGUUAUAGCUGGAAUAGGCCUUGCCAAAAAGGAUAUCUUGGGAGCUAGUGAUCCUUAUGUGCGAGUGACGUUAUAUGACCCAAUGAAUGGAAUUUUUACAAGUGUGCAAACGAAAACCAUUAAAAAGACUUUGAAUCCAAAAUGGAAUGAAGAAAUAUUAUUCAGAACAGAAAAUCCAAGAAUGGAGAGACCAUAUACCUUUAAGGAUUUUGUUCUUCAUCCAAGAAGUCACAAAUCAAGAGUUAAAGGUUAUCUGAGAUUAAAAAUGACUUACUUACCUAAAACCAGUGGCUCAGAAGACGAUAACACAGAACAGGCUGAGGAAUUAGAGCCUGGCUGGGUAGUUUUGGACCAACCAGAUGCUGCUUGCCAUUUGCAGCAGCAACAGGAACCUUCUCCUCUACCUCCAGGGUGGGAAGAGAGACAGGAUAUCCUUGGAAGGACCUACUAUGUAAACCAUGAAUCUAGAAGAACACAGUGGAAAAGACCAACCCUUCAGGACAACCUAACAGAUAAUGGUAACAUUCAACUGCAAGCCCAGCGUGCAUUUACCACCAGGAGGCAGAUAUCUGAGGAAACAGAAAGUGUUGACAACCGAGAACCUUCUGAGAACUGGGAAAUUAUAAGAGAAGAUGAAGCCACCAUGUACGGCCAUCAAGCCUUCCCUUCAUCUCCACCAUCAAAUAACUUGGAUGUCCAGACUCAUCUUGCAGAAGAAUUGAAUGCCAGACUCACUGUUGGUGGAAAUUCAGCCACUGGCCAGCCAGUAUCCAACUCAAAUCAUUCCAGCAGAAGAGGCAGCUUGCAAGCCUAUACUUUUGAGGAACAGCCUACACUUCCUGUGCUUUUGCCUACUUCAUCUGGAUUACCACCAGGUUGGGAAGAAAAACAAGAUGAAAGAGGAAGAUCAUACUAUGUGGAUCACAAUUGCAGAACUACUACCUGGAUAAAGCCCACUGUACAGGCCACAGUGGAGACCAGUCAGCUGCCGUCAAGCCAGGGUUCUUCUGCAGGCCCCCAGCCACAGGCCCCCGCGAGUGACGCAGCACAACAGGUGACCCAGCCAUCUGAAAUGGAGCAAGGAUUCCUCCCCAAAGGCUGGGAGGUCCGGCACGCACCAAACGGGAGGCCUUUCUUCAUUGACCACAACACCAAAACCACCACCUGGGAAGAUCCAAGACUGAAAAUUCCAGCUCAUCUGAGAGGAAAGACAUCACUUGAUUCUUCCAGUGACCUGGGGCCUUUACCUAAUAAAGAACCUCUUUUUUUCUCUCUUUCUUCAGAUAGUAAAAAAACACAAUGGGAAGACCCUCGUUUGCAGCAUGUAGCAAUAACUGGACCAGCAGUGCCCUACUCCAGGGAUUACAAAAGAAAGUAUGAGUUCUUCCGAAGAAAGUUGAAGAAGCAGAAUGACAUUCCAAACAAAUUUGAAAUGAAACUUCGCCGUGCAACUGUUCUUGAGGACUCUUACAGGAGGAUUAUGGGGGUCAAGAGAGCAGACUUCCUCAAGGCUAGACUGUGGAUUGAGUUUGACGGUGAAAAGGGACUAGAUUAUGGAGGAGUUGCCAGAGAAUGGUUCUUUCUUAUUUCAAAGGAAAUGUUUAACCCUUAUUAUGGGUUGUUCGAAUAUUCUGCUACGGAUAAUUAUACCCUACAGAUAAAUCCCAAUUCUGGACUGUGUAAUGAAGAUCACCUCUCUUACUUCAAGUUUAUUGGUCGGGUAGCUGGGAUGGCAGUGUAUCAUGGCAAACUGUUGGAUGGUUUUUUCAUCCGCCCAUUUUAUAAGAUGAUGCUGCACAAGCCAAUAACACUUCAUGAUAUGGAGUCAGUGGAUAGUGAAUAUUACAAUUCAUUAAGAUGGAUUCUUGAAAAUGAUCCAACAGAAUUGGACCUCAGGUUUGUCAUAGAUGAAGAACUUUUUGGACAGACACAUCAACAUGAGUUGAAAAGUGGUGGAUCAGAAAUAGUUGUCACCAAUAAGAACAAAAAGGAAUAUAUUUAUCUUGUAAUACAAUGGCGAUUUGUAAACCGAAUCCAGAAGCAAAUGGCUGCUUUUAAAGAGGGAUUUUUUGAACUGAUACCGCAGGAUCUCAUCAAAAUUUUUGAUGAAAAUGAACUAGAGCUUCUGAUGUGUGGCUUGGGAGAUGUGGAUGUGAAUGACUGGAGAGAACACACAAAGUACAAAAAUGGCUACAGCAUAAAUCAUCAAGUCAUCCAGUGGUUUUGGAAGGCUGUUUUAAUGAUGGACUCAGAAAAAAGAAUACGACUACUUCAGUUUGUCACUGGCACAUCACGUGUGCCUAUGAAUGGAUUUGCUGAACUGUAUGGCUCAAACGGACCACAGUCAUUUACAGUUGAGCAGUGGGGCACACCUGAGAAGCUGCCAAGAGCUCAUACCUGCUUUAAUCGCCUGGACUUGCCACCCUAUGAAUCAUUUGAAGAAUUAUGGGAUAAACUUCAGAUGGCCAUUGAGAACACUCAGGGUUUUGAUGGCGUGGAUUAGAUUUUAAGUAGCCGUUUAUGGUGUUUUACUGCCACUUUUUUUUUAAAGCAAAAUCUUGACUUAAAAUUUUCCAGGGAACUACUAAUCCUUGGCCAUUGAUGCUUCUCAGAUAUUGGAGAAAAUCGUGUCAACGAAUUAGAAGAGCUAGGAUGACAACGCUUCCAUUAUUUCAUUCAUUUUAGUAAUGUGUUGCAUUUACAUAGUUGUUUCGUUCUAUUUUGAGUUCACACCCAAGGAUUUAAGUCCUGUGUGCCUGAAAACGUGAGAUUUAUCCUUGGAUUUACCUCUUUUACAGUAUUUGCCAGGCAGUUCUUUCUUAAACUACUGAAAUGAUAACUGUGAAUACCUGUGAUAAGUGACAUGUGUGAAAAGUAUGAUUUUUUUGAGAAGGAGAACUGAAAUUUGGGGUAAAAAACUUCAAUACUGAGUACACGACAAUAUAUUCAAUGCUGCCUGCAGCUAGUUAUUAUUUUUUAGACCUGCCUACCGCACGGGCAGUAGCAGGUUUUUGGAAGAAUCUUGCAAAGUGUGUUACCUAUAUUUUCAGUCAACUGAUUCACUUACAAAAAGCUGUCUACUUCUUCAUUUUAAAAGUAUUUGGCUUUUGUUAGUAUGCGGUUUUACUAAACAAGGUAGUUCAUAGGACAUGUGAAGCAAAUUCAGAUUUGCAAAGGUUGAAAGGUAUCAGUGCCUCCCUCUUGCCUGUAUAUCCUAUGGCUCAUUGAUAGAGCCAUUACUCUUUACUGUUUUCAUUUAGUUAAAAGAAUUCCUUCUUCAAACUAAAGCUUGACAAAGCAGUAUUCCUAAAUAUGCCUUGAAGAACUAAGUUAAAUGUAUAAUACUUGCCUUUACUAGUCAUUCUUUACACUUGCACAAUUAUGUAGUCCUUACAUGUUUACAGGGUUUAUUAUGUUUACAGAUUAAGCUAAUUUCUGUAGUUGCAUUUUUAUAUUUUUAGUAUUUCACUUUAGUCAAACCAAAUAAUUUGUUAAAAAUUACCAAAGAAUAGUUACAGUGCAUCAUUUGUAUUAAAUUUAUUACCAUGUUUCUUAUGCUUUUUAAAAAACUGUUUACUAUGAAAAUAUUUUGCUAUAAAUCCAAAACUCUAGGCAAAAUGCUAGAGAUAGACUUCUACUUUAGCUAAAUAGAAGUACAUAAAAAUCCUGUGCGUGCAUUCAACAAAGGUUUACUGAAUGCCUGUGAUAUGCAUAGCUCUGUCUAGGCCAAAGGGUGAGAGUUGUCAGCUUCAAAGAAAUCCAUCCCCAUCCUCAAGGAACUUAGAGAUGUGUAAAGGAAUUUUGAAACAAUCAAAAGUCAGGGUGAGCAGAAUAAGGCAAAAGGGAAAGUGUUCCAGUGCACCUGCAAAGGUAAAGUGUGCCAAGGCUGUAUUUAUAUAUUUUAUACCUAUAUUGGAAUGAUUGUAUAGAAAAAUGCUCUUGAAAAAAGUUAAAGCUAUUUCUCAAUAUGGUAUUUUGGUGAUUUAGGGAUAAUUGUAAAUAUAUGUUAUGUCUUCUCAAAUACACACACACACACACUCCAAGAGGUGUAAAAAAGUANUUCUCAAAUACACACACACACACACACUCCAAGAGGUGUAAAAAAGUAUAUCUGGCUGUUGGUUACAGUUUGCUGGGGUCUAAUACCAUGUGUACUUUUCAGCACCUGGUAGGGAUCUCAUAAGUGACAGAAGCGAAGCCACUUUCCAAACAUCACAUCAGCAGCCCAGCUUAGAGAAAGUAAUUCACAGAUCCAUGUACCCUCUGUCUUAUCUUCUUCUGUGUUAACCAGCAUUCAGGGGAAACACCCUGCUUUUAUCACUUACCAAAUGUUUAAACCGAAGCAACAUACUUCACCUCUCUGGGUUCCUGGUUCUUCAUCUGUCAAAGGAAAAUAACUAUGUAUGCAUGCUCUCAUUGUAAGAUNNNNNNNNNNNNNNNNNNNNNNNNNNNNNNNNNNNNNNNNNNNNNNNNNNNNNNNNNNNNNNNNNNNNNNNNNNNNNNNNNNNNNNNNNNNNNNNNNNNNNNNNNNNNNNNNNNNNNNNNNNNNNNNNNNNNNNNNNNNNNNNNNNNNNNNNNNNNNNNNNNNNNNNNNNNNNNNNNNNNNNNNACAAAUCUAUGUAUACAUAUUUUUAUCUGUAUAUGGAUCUUACCAUCAGAAUUCAUUUUCUCCACAUGAGCAAAGUAAUGUUAAGAUGGGCCAAUGCAUUUUGGAAUGUUCUCAUUAUGUAGAACUGAACGUGAAAACUGCUUUUGUUAAAAAUGGAUUUUACCACAUGAUUGUUUAAAUAUCACUUCUGUCAAAUAUGGCAGAUUUCAGAGCUUGAGAAAAUAUAUAGCUUGCUUUUCAUCUGACUCAUUCACUUGGAUGAUUCUGUGACUCAGAUAAAACAGCGUAUUAAUAAGACCAGACACUCCCACCAGCACCCAGCCACAGACCAGCAUCUGCUUCAUUUUCCAGGUAUGCAGUGAUGGUCUGAAAGGACCCUGUAUUAAGCAACACAGCCCCUCAUCCCAAAUAGCAAAGUAUCUCAAAACACAUUCUACAGCUGGAAGUAAAUAGGGUCAUUUUCUUAGAGCAAGGAUGUCAUAUUUUUUUAGAACUUAUAAGCACAUAAUUUUAGCCUAUAUUUUCUCUGUAAUCAAAUUUUGACGGACAUAAAAUUGUAUUACAAAUGCAUUUCAUCCUAAUUUAAAGGUUUUAACUGUUUUUGUUUCUUAUUUAUAAUCUGAAAUUCCAGAGAAUUAUCAAGUCAAACAACUCUUUUGAAUUAUAAGCCACUUGAUAUUGUUUUCUAAAAUCUUCUGAUAUGGGAAAAUAUUACCAAGAUUAAUGUAUCAAAUUUUAUUGUAUACUUUAAAAUAUAAAACCAUUUUUAAAAAUCUGAUACCAUAAAUAAAGUUCUAUUCUAGCAAAACCA
This 5941-nucleotide long non-coding RNA is filed under the name Capra hircus (goat). RNAcentral's name for it is "lncRNA (ENSCHIG00010007402.1)". Lineage: Eukaryota; Metazoa; Chordata; Mammalia; Artiodactyla; Bovidae. The record is from RNAcentral.